Tachysurus fulvidraco (yellow catfish) is the source of this 1091-nucleotide long non-coding RNA. RefSeq lists it as uncharacterized. The record is from RefSeq and is a predicted model, not a curated record. The transcript has 3 exons. Lineage: Eukaryota; Metazoa; Chordata; Actinopteri; Siluriformes; Bagridae.
UGACACACAAGGAAUUUGGUUCCAGCUGUUUGUGACUCUCAAAGGAAUGGCAGGACUCUGGAAUUCCCAGCAGAACUUUAGGUGCCCAGAGCAUCAAUCUGCAUCUCCAGGUUCUUUCCAUGGUAGACAGGGGUCAGCAUGGGCACUCUGAAGGGUCUGGGGCUAUGCAGCCAUAUAUGAAGCAAUUAAAAUCAUAACAUAUAGACUAGCCCUUAUUCCUCACAUGCAACAGUAAUCAAUAGAUGCACAUGAAUCCUGUUGUCCAUGACCCUGACUUCCAGCAAAUCAGCUUCAAGAAAUAUUAAUUUGCUGCCUAAUAUAUCCCACCCCUUGACCUGCUCCAAUGUUAUGUAUGUCACCUGUCAGUGUGUUAAUGUUAAUUAGUGGUUAAAGGAGUGAAUGUUUUGAAAUAUAUUUAUGAUAAUUGAACCAAUUAUGAAUGAUUAAUGAAUUAUAAAUAGAUGAUUAUUAAAGCAUUACUGAUUUAUCUGGAUGUGAUUCCAGAGUAACAUAGGAAAAAUGUCUUCCACUAGCUGAGAUGACUGACCCUCAUGAUUAACACUAGGUUUGUUUCAGCUGAGUGAAGUCCUGAGGAACUAAAUAUGGCUCAGUAGGCAUCAACCAUGGAAACAGUACUUGAUGAUGCUAACCUCUGGUGUACAAAAGGAAUCACAGAAUUUCAGAAACAUUUUGUCAUCGGUUAGCCCCUGCUCUCCUUUACAUGCAAUACAGGGGCAGUGGCAGUGACAGGAAGGUUGUGAGUUAAAAACCCAGCACUGCCACUGUUGGGCCCUUAACUUUCAAGUGCUCAGUUGAUAAAUGUAAGUAAAUUGAUCUAGAUAAUGGCAGCUGCCAAAUACAGUAAAUGUAAAUGUGAAUGCAAUACCUGUGCUGGCAGAACAAUAGCAAGCAAAAGAGAAAUCACAAUAACUGGUAAAGGGAAAGGAAUGGACCUAAGGCACUGUACAGAGCAUGGAAAGGAAGAUCUGGGUCCAUACUGGAUAGGGCUGGUUGGUACUGUAGAAUUAUCUCGGCAUUCCAGGGUAAAUGUGAAAGAUUAGUGAACCAUUGCCCGGUGAGGAGUAUAGACU